Molecule: long non-coding RNA, 170 nt
Filed under: Calidris pugnax (ruff)
Lineage: Eukaryota; Metazoa; Chordata; Aves; Charadriiformes; Scolopacidae
Description: lncRNA (ENSCPUG00000017673.1)
Source: RNAcentral
GCGCCUUCUGGGACCUUCUGGGGAUCUUCUUGGGACCUUUGGGGACCUUCUGGGACCUUUGGGGAUCUUCUGGGACCUCUUGGGACCUUCUGGGGACCUUCUGGGACCUUUGGGGAUCUUCUGGGAUCUUCUGGAACCUCUUGGGAACCUUCUGGGGAUCUUCUGGGACC